GGACAGAGGCUCUUAUGUUAAUGGGGGUUCAAAACAAUUUAUGCACUCCGAAGAGUGGAGAAAUUUUGGUUGCUUCCACCCAGGAUUUUCUGACGUCUUCCUUUCUCAUUACGAGGAAGGACACAUUCUAUAACCGUGCUUCCUUUUCACUAAUUUGUUCAUAUAUGGGCGACGCAAUGGAUCCUACAGAUUUGCCAUCUCCAGCAUUUAUUAAACCGGC
RNAcentral lists this unclassified non-coding RNA (220 nucleotides) under Hevea brasiliensis (rubber tree). The record is from RNAcentral. Lineage: Eukaryota; Viridiplantae; Streptophyta; Magnoliopsida; Malpighiales; Euphorbiaceae.